UACGUAGGGUGCGAGCGUUAAUCGGAAUUACUGGGCGUAAAGUGUGCGCAGGCGGCCGAGCAAGUCGAGUUUGAAAGCCCCGAGCUUAACUUGGGAACUGCGCUCGAAACUACUUGGCUAGAGUGUGGCAGAGGGAGGUGGAAUUCCACGUGUAGCGGUGAAAUGCGUAGAGAUGUGGAGGAACACCGAUGGCGAAGGCAGCCUCCUGGGCCAACACUGACGCUCAUGCACGAAAGCGUGGGGAGCAAACAGG
This 253-nucleotide ribosomal RNA is filed under the name uncultured bacterium. RNAcentral describes it as "partial 16S ribosomal RNA". It matches the Rfam family "Bacterial small subunit ribosomal RNA", at positions 524 to 776 of the family's 1533-position model. The record is from RNAcentral.